Molecule: long non-coding RNA, 7578 nt
Organism: Felis catus (domestic cat)
Lineage: Eukaryota; Metazoa; Chordata; Mammalia; Carnivora; Felidae
Exons: 2
Source: RefSeq, a predicted model, not a curated record
CCGGCAGCUGGAGGGGAAGCCAGAGAGAGGUCAGGGAUUGCCCUGCUGGCGCACUGAAUUCCCAGCCUGCGCUCAGGGGUGCGGUUCCUGGGAAGGAGGGGGGUAGGGGAGGAGGGGAUACUGGGAGCCCAGCUCCUGCCAUCACUCCAGAGCCACUGCUCUGCCUGCCCUCACUCGGCCCAAAUCCUGUCCCUUCCCCUGCGUCCUCCUGCCACAUGAUCAUGCACUGCUUGUGAACUUCUCUAAGGGCUGCACUUGGGAUCACCGUCUCUCCCACCAGUCCCCCUGUCACGGCUGAAAGCACCUCAAAAGCAAGCGUGUUCCUCUCCAGGCUCAGCCCGGUGUGUGCAUCGGGAGGACUGCGUUUAACUCUCCAUGGCUGCCCUUGCUAAACCAUGGGGGCCCCGGAGGCCAGGCUCUGGUCCCCUGCUCUCCUCCCUGAGCCUUACUGUGCAGGUAAGAGGAGAGGUCCUCCACGCUGAUGCUGGACCACGCAUUGCCUGGGAUCCCUGGGGGCCCAGGGGGACCUGGGGGCCCAACGAUGCCUCUGUAUUCAGACCCUGAGACAGCAAAGGAGCACGGAGUCAGUGGAGGGGCCUGGGCCAAGGCCUCUGCCUUCCACCCCAGGCCACGUGGACCAGUGGCCCCUGUCCAGCCUUACCUUGGAGCAAGGAGAGGAGUUCCUCAUAGGAUGUUCCUGGCAAGCCGGGAGGCCCCGGGGGGCCAGGAAGCCCAAUGCUGAUUCCAGAGCCUGAGGAACAAAAGCCCAAGUUGUGAUGGAUUCUGAUCAGACAGGGCAAAGCAGGGGGAAACGCCUUGUCAGAGAGGAAGCCAGACACAGGAGUGAUUUGGACAGAAGUGGGAUCCCAGCAGGGGAAGAGGGGCAGCAGGAAGAAACAGGCCGAAAGAGGAACUCAGACUACAGUUGCCAUCGACACUGAGAAGCUAGGGCCGUAGGUCCUGGGACGAGUGCAGGUCAGCAUGCAGGGGUGUGUCGGAGGUCUGCAUGGGCACAAGUGGGGUGUGUGCAAACUGCCUGUGGGACGGCAUCCCAGAUACUCCUGGCUUCCCGGGCCAGGCUCAGGGCCUGCUCUUUCCCACAGACCAGGCCCUCUGGACUUGGUCUCUGGACUCUGGACACAGCUCAGCGCCCACCUCCUCCCUGGACCACCCCACUGACCGCCUGCCACAGGGGACAAGCCGGAAGGGUAGGCACUCACUGGACAUGUAGCUGAGGAUACGAGUGCUCAGUUCGGUGUAGUCCAGAGACUGCAGGGACCAAUCCGUCAGGUACUGCCGCAGGGACUGUCUCACAUCCUCCCCUGGAAGGACAGGCUGCGCUGGCGUGGGCCCCACCCCGGGCUCCUGCACACCCACAGGCUGGCCCUGAGCUGUGGGUUCUCAGUCCCCCGGGAAGCGGCAAGCCUGCAGGUCCCCAACAAGGCACCCGCGCAGUUACCCGGCACUGGGGACCCUGAGACUUGCGGCCCCCUCCCCAGUCAGUGCUGACCCACGGAGGCUCAGAGGCUGGGAGCGAGGAGGAGCAGCACUCCGCCCGCAGCUCUCUCAGCGCUCAGGUGGGAGCGAGCUGGGCUGCAGAGCUCCCGCCCUCCUGCCCAGGGCAGCCACUCACGCUGCAGGGCCGCCAGGAUGUCCGCAGAGGAGAUGGAGGCCGAGGAGCUGAUGCCGGCCCCCGAGGCUGUCAGGAAGGAAACCUCAGGUUACCUGCUUCCUAGCAAAACCGAAGCAACACCCUCGUUGCUCCAGAACCCCGAAGACCCGGCCAGCUAGCUGUUCCGUUUGGGGAAAAUGAACGAAUGGCGGCAUUAGGAGGCUGUUGUGAAUGCACGCAAAAGUCAACAGUGGGGCUGUGUUUGUGUUCGGACACCUCUGUCAACUGCAAGAAGGCUUGCUACACGUGGCUGUGCACGUGGCCUCUGUUCUCGGAGCCGGAUCCCAGUGGCCGAGAGCCCCGAGUUCCGAACUGAACUUCACAUCCCGAAGGGCGAAGCAAACAGCAAAGUAAGCGAGGAGGCUCUGGAGCAAAGUGACCACGGGAGGAGGGGGUCAUUGUGGGGGUGGGGACAGGCUUACUCUGUAAGUAGCUCCCGACACGGCUUGCCAGCUCCGAGUAGUCGAAAGUCUCCCCGGCAAUGGUGGUGACAGGCCCUGGGGGACCAGGUGGGCCUGGGGGACCCUGAACUCCAGACAGGUAAGACCUAAUGCUGUCGCCUGCCGACAAAGAAAGCAAAGUCGUGCCUGUCCCCAAGAGGGCGUGACCUCCCUCCAGGUGCCGGAAGCACCUCAUCCCAUCCAUGGCCCAAGGUGGGGCCAGCAGGGAGCCUAGACUCUUGGUUACAGAGAAAAGUUGAGGCCAAGGCCUGUGCUGGAUUAGAUGCUACUUGAAGACUGAGGACCGACGAGGCUCCAGUCGGCCGCCAUUUGACAAAGUCUAUACGCACAUUCUUAGAAAUCACACCCAGACGUGCAGCGGGAGUAUGGGAUGGGGGGUGCACACUUGUGUGACAGUGUGUGUGUGGCUGUGUUCCCACGGAUGAGUGUGUGGGUGAGGACGCACCUGUGUGGGCUGCCAUGAGAAGGUGGGUGUUGAGGGAGUCCAUGGUCAUGUGGUCCUGGCUCCCGGGGCGGGUUUCUGACCUAGGCCUGGCCCACAGGCUGCUGUAUCCCGCCGUGCGUGCACACACACGCGCACGCACACAGGCAAGCACACACGCGUGUGCACACACAAGCACAUCUCUUUGGUAGCCACCUGGCUCCCACCCACUCCCAGAGCCUCCCCCGCCUCGCCGCACUGGUACGGGCAAUGGGAUCUGUCAGGUCUAUUCACCUGGGGGGGAGGAGACCGGAGGCUUCCCGAAAUAGCCAGGCUCCACAGAGCACCGGAGACGCCCGGCCGAGCAGACACGUCGGCACACGCACCCACACAAACUCACUUAGAUCCCGGGACUCACUCUGCAUGUACUCAGCGAUGUACUGCUGGACCUCCCGGCCCGAGCUGCUGAUAGAGCCUGGAGGCCCCGGCGGGCCUGGCGGGCCUGGCGGACCCGGCACGAACAUGGUGCCCGACGACGAUCCCCCUGUAGGAGGGAAAGCCUUCUGAGUCUGCCAGGAAAAGCCCACCUUAGGAUCAAAGAAGGGCCCAGACACAGCUUCCACAGCACGAGGAGGGAGAAAUAGAUGGUGGCAAAGAGAAGGAAAGGAGGAGGGGAGUGCCUAUAAGCAGCCACUGUCUGGAAAGGGCACAGAGUUGGGAUUUCGCUGGACCGGACCCUCCCUUCAGCACCCCACUUCAGCAACUCAGCCCCAGAGGCCCCCUCAACUCCAAACGCCCCUAGCUCCCAGGUCUGUCCUGUUCUCCAUCAUUCGGCAUCGCCAGCCACCUUCACUGUACUGUCCUUCCCUCUCAUCUCCACCAACCUGUAACCUCCUUAAAGGCAGUGCAGAGGCCCUAGCACAUGGAGACGCGACCUGAUCAGCACCGAAUCAUGGGUGUGGGAGGCGAACAGGUGAAUGAAUCAGUGUCCUUGCUUGAGGAAGGGGAGAAGACCUUUGGUUCUUACCUUGAGAGAGACCACCAGGAAUGCCAGGAGCCCCUGGGAUACCAGGAUCGCCUAGAAUCCAACACAAGAAGACCUGUUUGUAUCACCUCCUCUAGGAAGCCUUCCCUGGUUGGGCCCAACCAAGUUUAUCAGCCUGUGACUCAACAACUGUCCCAGGUCUCUCAGUCUUAUUUCUGCAAUGCUACCACAAGCCCCCUUCAGGCAGAGACUGGACGCACGUCCUCAUCCCUUUCUCCGUCCAGCCGCCCCUUCCUCCCAAGCCUUUAACACCAGUGAGUACUCGCUGCCUUCUAUUCACACUCUGCGGGCCAUCCUUGCUCUCACGCCCCCUGCCUUCUUGGCUGCUCCCCUCACUGACCUUUGUCACCCUUGGGUCCCCGAGGGCCAGGCGGUCCCUGCAGGUUGAGUCCAAGAGAGCUGGAGCCUGGGAACCAACAACACAGUACAGUCACCCAGAGCUGAGGGGCUCUGGACAGAGCCAGCGGCGGGGGUGGGGGCUCAGCACUUACCUGAGGCUGAGAACCCUGGGAGGCCUUGCUCGCCUGAGGGACACACCCGAGGGGGGACCGUCAGUGACGCGCUCCUCCCUAGGCCCAGCCCAACGCCACCUCCCUCCCGAGCCUCCCCAGCCCUUACACACGCACACAUUCCCGACCCUUCCCAGAGACACCCACUCAGAUCUACCCUCACUCAUUUGGAUCAGACUCAUUCGUGGGAAGCUCAAGGCUUGGAAGGUCAGCCUUGGCCACCUCACCCCACCCCACAUUUUGUUUGAUGUCAGCUCUACUGACCUUGGUGUCCUCGAGGGCCUGGGGGGCCUGAUGGAAGGAGGCAGACACAGUUGUGAGAUGCAUACCUACCAGGUGCUGUGGCUGCAAGGGGCCCGUAGGGGAAGAGAUGGGGCUCCUGCCGGAGUGUGGGGUCGAGCCACGGCCAUGGCCACGUGUGCCAGCAGGCCAGCACAGCGGUGGGGAGUCUUUCUGGAGCUUCUAGCCACUGUGCCUCCCGCCAUGCUCCAGACCACCAGGUUCCUCCCGGGGUACGGCAGGAGGAUGCACAGAUGGCCCGGGUGACCCAGCCUCGUCCAGACUCUCCUGGCCACCCCGAGCAAGCAGGGGCACACGGGCUUCUGUGCCCCAAGACGCUACUCACCUUGGUCUCCCUUGGGGCCCGGGGGCCCAGGGGGGCCCGGGGGGCCAGAGAAGAAGGUCUCUGCAGAGGAGAGAAGGACUUCUGAGUGUGAGCACAGUGGUAUUUGUAAGGGAGCAGCUGCAAGCAUGGAGCCUGGCAUCCUGCGGGUGCUCAAUUGGUAUGUGGCAGAUGGGUGGAUCGAUGGAUGGGUGGAUAGUGGGAAGGUUGGACGAAGGAUAAAGGAAAUAACAAAUGGUGGAUGGAUAAAUAGAUGGGUGGGUGGGUGGAUCUUCCACAAGGGACAAGUUUUCCCGUUCUACGGAGUCUAUGCAAACACACCCUGGCGACAGGGCUGAAGGAGGAACAUGGUGAGUCUGUCAGGAAGACCGCAAGCCUGUGACCACAGCAUGUCCCGGAGCUAGGGCUGGGGUGGAGAGCGAGGGGACUGGACUCUUAACAUUACCUGAGUUGGUCAGGAAAGAUCCUGGUGGGCCUGGUGGGCCUGGCAGGCCUUCCCCUAAUAGGAGAACCACCAAGACUUAGUAAAGCCAAGCUAUGGGCCAUGAACCCUCUGCCCAGGAGAAGUGGCCAGGCAGCCCUUUCCUGAGAGCCAGCCCAGAAGAGGCCGUGGGUGCCAUGGUCUCGUAUCUUUCACCAGGGAGCUCAGCUCUCACCUGCUGGGCCUCGGGGUCCUGGUGGGCCUGGAAUGGAAGGUCCUGCAGAAAAGAGUGAGCAAGAGGCAAUGCUGAACUCAGGGAGCUGAUCCUGCCCCUGUGAUGAGGACCCCGGCUUCCUCACUAAGUGCCCUGUCCCCCACGAUUCCCCACCUUCCAGUGAUCCCUGAGAUGCUCACCUGGAGGUCCAGGUGGGCCAGGUGGGCCGGGGGGACCCCGUAAAUCAAGACCUUCUGUGGAGAGAAAAAAAAAUCAGAAAUAAGCAAAAGCUCUCACGAAGCUGUUCCCCACUAGCCCUCAUUAGGCUCAUCAGCGCCAGGUGCCCGGGCUACACCCACACCCCAGAGGCCAGCUCUGCGUCACGGCACAGGGCCCUCCGGGACCCCCUCUGCUAGAGGUGCUCCUCGCUCACAGGCGGGGCAGGGCAGAGCUGCCAUCAAAUGCCCUGAUGGCCAAGUACGUGGCUGUGUCAGCCCGAGUUCACAAUCCUGCUCUGCUACUUCUGGCUGGUGACUGGGCAAGCUCUUGACUUCUUUCGGCCUCAGCUUACUCUUCUCUAAACCGGAAGUCUAAGACCUAUGUCCCAGGAGCACUGUGAAGUCCCAGGGAGGUCCCAGGACAGAAUGUCUAGCACACGGCAGCUGCUGGGCCACGGCUGGCUGCUGCCUUUGCCAUCAGGUGUCUAAGUGGGAGACCCAGCGGCAUGUCUGCUUGGGCUCCUUAAUGGACUCUGGAAACAGAAGAACCCAGAAGUCACCCUCCCAGGCCGGGGCUGUAGCUGAGAACCCGUGGACCCUCGUCACUGCUCCUCGUGGGGGAGGCAGUUCUCUUGCCAGUCAUUCUCCCAGCGCCCAGCUCCCUUCAGAGGCCCCACUUGACCCUGGUCCUCCGAGAAUCCCAAGAACCUCUCCGACAGCUGCCCCAUCCCUGUGACUCACCCCCCCAGGGCCGACAAAAGGCCUGCUGUUCCUUGGAGGCUGGCAUGGCCUUUCAGAGGAACCAGUCACCCUUGCUCACAUGAGGGCUCAGGAUGACUCACUGGUCCAGCUGCUACAGGCCCCAAAUGUGCUGCCAUCUGUCCCGCUCCCGCCCCAGUGUCACCUCGCCCCAGAGAACAUGGGGGCACUCACGGGCAGAGAGGACCUCAGAGAUGGAGCUGCUGCUGCCCAUGAACGAUUCACCGGCAAGUCCUCGCUCCCCGCGGGGGCCUGUGUAAAAGACACGAGUUCAGGGGGGCUCCACCUGCAGCAACCCCUCUUCCUCCCCCAUGCUUUCUUCUAUAGGGCUUGGGAGGGUCCUGGUGGGUGGGGCGGGGUGGGGCGGAGCGCCAGGAGUGGGCGGGGUCUGGAGCAUCAGGAGUGAACAUUCCUGUUUGCAGGCCCAACAGCCCAGGGGAAACUGGACCAUUUUUUCCUAAGGCUGUUUUCUGGUGUUUGGAUAAAUCACUGGAAAGUAGCACAAUUAUCAGGAUCUGGGCACAAGAGCCUCGAUGCCUAUGAAAUAGCCAAGCUUGACCCUGACCAGCAUGCCACAGAGCCCCAAACCCCUGUCCAGAGGAUCCCUAUCUUCUCAGAAACCCAAGAAGAAGGGCCCUGCAAGGCCCUUGAUGAAGCACCGGGUCACCCCGUGACCUCUCUUCCAAAAUGCAGGUCUCCCACUUUAAGGCGGGGUCCCAAGUCCAGCAGGGAAAGGAAGCCUUCCCCCCCUGAGCCCAGAGUCCUGUGCUUCAGGACUGACGUACCUUGCUGUCCAGGGAGACCAGCUGGGCCCACGGGACCUAGAGAUGGAGUUGGGAAGAAAAGUCUUUACCACAUCUCUAGGGUCACAGUUCUAGAAGGAACUGAAAAAAGGGCAUGUCCAAACACACCUAGCUUGCUUACUUGAGAGCAAUAAGCAAUUUGAGACCAGACCUGUGGUCCAUCCCAUGAGAAUCAUGAGAAUUCCUCUGCCAAAACCCGGGCUCUGGGACAGGCAGAGCUGCCCCCUCUGUUCCCAGUGUUUAAGAAACUUCUCAGCGCCCCCGUAUUCUCCCUCUUAUUGGAGCUUAGCAGAAGGGAAGGCUGAUCCGUACUUGUGUUGGUUGUGCUAAAUCACCUACUGCGUUUACACGUUUUAAAUUAAAAAAAAAACACAGAUAAGGGCAUGUGGCUGGCUCAGUCAGAGAAGAGCAUGAGACUCUCAAUGUCUCAGGG